CCUACGGGUGGCAGCAGUGAGGAAUAUUGGUCAAUGGGCGGGAGCCUGAACCAGCCAAGUCGCGUGAAGGAUGACGGCUCUAUGGUUUGUAAACUUCUUUUAUACGGGAAUAAAGUGACAUACGUGUUCAUUUUUGUAUGUACCGUAUGAAUCAGCAUCGGCUAACUCCGUGCCAGCAGCCGCGGUAAUACGGAGGCUUCGGGCGUUAUCCGGAUUUAUUGGGUUUAAAGGGUGCGUAGGCGGAAGUUUAAGUGAGCGGGGAAAUGUUCGGGGCUAACCCCGGCCUGGCAGUUGAAACUGGGGGGCUUGAGUGGGCGGGAAGUAGGCGGAAUGCGUGGUGUAGCGGUGAAAUGCUUAGAUAUCACGCAGAACUCCGAUUGCGAAGGCAGCAUACCGGGG
RNAcentral lists this ribosomal RNA (399 nucleotides) under uncultured bacterium. RNAcentral describes it as "partial 16S ribosomal RNA". It matches the Rfam family "Bacterial small subunit ribosomal RNA", at positions 338 to 734 of the family's 1533-position model. The record is from RNAcentral.